GCUUGUCUCAAAGAUUAAGCCAUGCAUGUCUAAGUAUAAACAAAUCUAUACUGUGAAACUGCGAAUGGCUCAUUAUAUCAGUUAUAGUUUAUUUGAUGGUUCUUACUACUUGGAUAACCGUAGUAAUUCUAGAGCUAAUACAUGCAUCAAGCAGUCUCACGGCUGUGUAUUUAUUAGAUACAAUCAGCCCCCUCGGGGUCAUGAUGAAUCAUAAUAACUGAACGAAGCGCAUGCUCACGCGGCGCUGUUUCAUUCAAGUUUCUGCCCUAUCAGCUUUCGAUGGUAGGGUAUUGGCCUACCAUGGCGUUAACGGGUAACGGAGAAUUAGGGUUCGAUUCCGGAGAGGGAGCCUGAGAGAUGGCUACCACAUCCAAGGAAGGCAGCAGG
RNAcentral lists this ribosomal RNA (387 nucleotides) under uncultured Bicosoecida. RNAcentral describes it as "partial small subunit ribosomal RNA". It matches the Rfam family "Eukaryotic small subunit ribosomal RNA", at positions 30 to 432 of the family's 1831-position model. The record is from RNAcentral. Lineage: Eukaryota; Bigyra; Bicosoecida.